GAGGGUAUAGCUCAGUGGUAGAGUGCAUGCCUAGCAUGCAUGAGGUCCUGGGUUCAACUCCAGUACCUCUA
RNAcentral lists this transfer RNA (71 nucleotides) under Camelus bactrianus (Bactrian camel). It matches the Rfam family "tRNA". From Rfam's summary of the family: Transfer RNA (tRNA) molecules are approximately 80 nucleotides in length. Their secondary structure includes four short double-helical elements and three loops (D, anti-codon, and T loops). RNAcentral also lists the same sequence under 2 other names. Lineage: Eukaryota; Metazoa; Chordata; Mammalia; Artiodactyla; Camelidae. The record is from Rfam by way of RNAcentral.